GAUGAACGCUAGCGAUAGGCUUAACACAUGCAAGUCGAGGGGCAGCAUGGUCUUAGCUUGCUAAGACUGAUGGCGACCGGCGCACGGGUGCGUAACGCGUAUGCAACUUGCCUCACAGAGGGGGAUAACCCGUCGAAAGACGGACUAAUACCGCGUACACUUGGGAUAGGGCAUCCUGACCCAAGGAAAUGAAAUUCGCUGUGAGAUAGGCAUGCGUCCCAUUAGCUAGUUGGUGAGGUAACGGCUCACCAAGGCGACGAUGGGUAGGGGAACUGAGAGGGUGAACCCCCACACUGGUACUGAGACACGGACCAGACUCCUACGGGAGGCAGCCGUGAGGAAUAUUGAUCAAUGGGCGAGAGCCUGAACCAGCCAAGUCGCGUGAAGGAUGACUGUCUUAUGGAUUGUAAACUUCUUUUAUACGGGAAUAACAAGAGCCACGUGUGGCUCCCUGCAUGUACCGUAUGAAUAAGCAUCGGCUAACUCCGUG
RNAcentral lists this ribosomal RNA (490 nucleotides) under uncultured bacterium. RNAcentral describes it as "partial 16S ribosomal RNA". It matches the Rfam family "Bacterial small subunit ribosomal RNA", at positions 28 to 507 of the family's 1533-position model. The record is from RNAcentral.